CGGUGUCUGUCCCUGGCCAGGGUGGGGGCGGGGCCUCCGCCGCUCUGAGCUUGCCCUUGUGUCUGGUGCUUCGUAGAGCUGCCGCCGCCGCUGCCGCCGCCGCCGCUGCCGCUGCUGCUACAGCCGCCGCUGCAGCCGGAGCAUCCGGGAGCUGCCACUGCCGCCGCCGCUGCCGCCACUAGCGCUGCUUCCACCGCUGCUACCUCCCCUCCCAGGACCUCGAGACAUCCCGGGUGCGAGCGGCAGUGCUGCUUGCUUGCUCCCCCUCUCCCCCAGCCUUUCCCCUCCGUGACCUACCCACUCCUUGCAGCCCUCGCCCGCACCUUCUUCGACACCCCGGCACCCCUGCACCACCUGCUCGGGCAGCCCCGGCGGGCUCUGGGACUUGCUGUGCGCGCCGAGAGGAAGGCAAGCUCCAAACCCCUGCCUGGCAGACGGGCUGUCGCGGCUGCACCACCAGCAGGAGGAGGAGGAGAAGAAACUAUUUCGCCCACCGAUACCCCAUUCUGCGGGUGCUUUGCCGCUGUCGCUACUGCUGCCGCCAAUCCGAGUCCGCGGGUUCGAACACCUCAGCGGCGGGGACGGUAGGUCCCGUGGGCGCCGGGAGGAGGACAGCAGCGGAGCCCUGCACUCUCGUGCCCCGCUCACCAGCAUCUACUUGCCCCCUCGUUCCUUCCCCAGCCCUUGAGAGAAGGGACCAUGAUUUGGAAACGCAGCGCCGUUCUCCGCUUCUACAGUGUCUGCGGGCUCCUGCUACAAGUGUGUGAGAGCCUGGGAGCGAGCUACCAAGAAGGCGAGAACAGCAGCAGCGGCAGCACCGUGUGCAUUGCAAUAACAUCUCCGGGGGGGAAAUGUGUUGUGAGACGUGUCAUUCACCUAGGAAGAGAGAGGAGACUCUGUCUGGGAUUUAAGAAAAAAAAAAGAAAAAAGAAAGAAAGAAAACAAAAAGAAAGAAAGGAAAAAGAAUAAGAAAAAAUAAAAAAUGAAUGAAUGAGUAAAUAAACCAAUAAAUUAAGAAAGGGGAGAAAAGGCAAAAAAAUUAAAAGAUCCAAACGCACUUUAUCAACACAUUGACUUUUUAUUAUUUAGUCUGUGUCAUUUCUUUUUUUUUUAAACCAAAGAAAUAUAUGCUUCCUAGCAGUUACUUUACUGCCAAGAGAUUUUCACUUAGAUUUCCUACCUCUCCAUCUUCUCUCUGCCGCUUCUUUCCGUAAUUAAUAUUAUCCUUUCACGUGAAAUGUAAGAACCCCUACCACCGCAGUGGAGGGAAGCCGCACAAAACGCUGUUAUUAUGCAAAUCACUGGGUUUGGAUGCCGGAAGGCUAGUGAACCUGGGUUCACUUUUCUCCAGACCCUCUUUUUUGGAGGAGGGAGUGAGGGGGCUGUGUGGAAUGGGAGGAUGAUGCUGAUUAUGAAAUAAAUGGCAAUGCAUAGUACAGGAGUGCAUGAGGACACUUUGGGUGGUGGAGGAGGCAGAGGCGGCGUGCUAGGGCUGGGUGGGCAGGGGCUGUAAGGCGGAAGAUUGUUGCUUUGAAGAGAAUAGUAUAGGGAUGUGGCUUGAAUGUGAGAUAUAGCGAGGAUGGAUGUGAAAUGAUGAUUGAUAGAAUAUUUUUUAAGCUAGGUGACUAGAUUUUUUUUUUCUUUGCCUACCUCUAAACCCUUCUGUCAUUAUUUGGGUAUUUGCAGGAAGAUAAGUUGAUCAAAUUAAUUUUCCCCUGGGUAAAAGGGAUCUGAAAGUAAGACACACGUAGACUCACUGGCGUGCAAAACCCAAUCGGCCUUUGGAGGAUUUAAAUGAGGUCAAUGAACCAUCUUUCAGCAAGUUCUUGGAAUGCAUCCUCUCUCCUGCCCUCCUCCGGGAUAUAGACUGGGGACAGAAUUUUAUUUAUGCAUAUUUAUGAACAUGAAAGAAGAGGCAGUGGGCAGAAUUUUCCUGAAUUAACUAACUGACCUUCUAGAGAUCUUGUGUAAAAUAUUUCGGUGGUACUUUUGUGUAUUUUACGUUGGGUGUAAAUUUCAGAUAUGUCAUGUGUGCCAGAAUCUCCGUGAAGGCAGACAGCACAUUCUUCCUGCGUACGCCGCUGAGUCCCAUUUCUCACCGUUCACACCCCCCAUCCUCACGCAAGUAACCCGGGUGUCUGACACGUUACUUAGGUUUUUAAUCCGCGCUGAGACAAUCUCCCGGAGACCCUACUUCACCUCUCAGUAACUUGCAUUUCUCAGCUCAGCUGUGUGUGUGUGUGUGUAUGUGUGUGUGUGUGUGUGUGUGUGUGUGCGCGCGCGCGCGCCCCGGCGUGCGCCGUGUUGGGGGGAGUGUGAUGUGGGGGAAUCAGUUAAUUUGGUGAUUGCAAUGAAAAUUCGACACCGCUAGAUGUAUUUUCCCUGCCAAUCUGUGUGUGCUGGUCCUGGCCGGUCAAUGCACACACUGCUGGGCUGCUGCGAAAUUAUUUAUUAUAGAGCAUGUGGGUCAUGGACUGCACUUGGGGUCGCCUCCUCUCUUCCUUCAACAUUUCCCUGUGAAUUGUCUAUUCAGUGCAGUGCAAAAUAACUGUUUGCUGGUGCCUCUCUCAGCCUGGAGGAGGAUUUACUCUUUCUCUAUCCGGGGAGAUUCCAUCAGCAGCAUUCAGGCAUGAGUCUCUUUUAUUGAGUAUGUAAACC
RNAcentral lists this long non-coding RNA (2658 nucleotides) under Rhinopithecus bieti (black snub-nosed monkey). RNAcentral's name for it is "lncRNA (ENSRBIG00000045488.1)". The record is from RNAcentral. Lineage: Eukaryota; Metazoa; Chordata; Mammalia; Primates; Cercopithecidae.